AGUGAACGCUGGCGGUAGGCCUAACACAUGCAAGUCGAACGGCAGCACAGUAAGAGCUUUCUCUUACUGUUGGCGAGUGGCGGACGGGUGAGGAAUACAUCGGAAUCUACUUUUUCGUGGGUGAUAACGUAGGGAAACUUACGCUAAUACCUCAUACUUUCUACGGCUUGAAGUAGGAGAUCUUCGGACCUUUCGCGUCUCAAUUAGCCGAUGUCGGAUUAGCUAGUUGGCGGGGUAAAGGCACACCAAGGCGACGAUCCGUAGCUGGUCUGAGAGGAUGAUCAGCCACACUGGAACUGAGACACGGUCCAGACUCCUACGGGAGGCAGCAGUAGGGAAUAUUGGACAAUGGGCGCAAGCCUGAUCCAGCAAUGCCGCGUGGGUAAAGAAGGCCUUCGGGUUGUAAAGCCCUGUUGUUGGGGAAGAAAAGAAGCAGAUGAAUACCCCGCUGUUCUGACGGUACCCAAAGAAUAAGCAACGGCUAACUUCGUG
This 492-nucleotide ribosomal RNA is filed under the name uncultured bacterium. RNAcentral's name for it is "partial 16S ribosomal RNA". It matches the Rfam family "Bacterial small subunit ribosomal RNA", at positions 29 to 507 of the family's 1533-position model. The record is from RNAcentral.